Molecule: long non-coding RNA, 453 nt
Filed under: Nicotiana tabacum (common tobacco)
Lineage: Eukaryota; Viridiplantae; Streptophyta; Magnoliopsida; Solanales; Solanaceae
Description: long non-coding RNA (NTAB_LNC009146)
Source: RNAcentral
ACACUUUGAGGACUUUAGUUUCAAUUAUUGACUUUUCUGAAAAUGUCCUGCGGUCUAACGGACUUAAGUGUCAGAGCCUUCCACUCCUCCAUUUGUUCUACCAAAAGCAAAGACGAAAAAGGAAUAGAGGAAAAGGAAAAUUUGGACGGAUCUGUUGCCGGAGAUGUAAACAAAAUGUCGGAAUGUUUGAUAAUUGUCCAUAAACGAAAUGUCCGGAGAAAGGAAAAGUUGUACCAAAAAUCUCAAAAAGUCCGGUAUUUGUAGAAGAAUUUCCUUUCAAAACUUUAUGACCUUUGAAAUCUAUUUAGUUCUAUUCCAUAUGGAAAAUUUUCAUAGCCCAAAAUUGAAAAAAUUAAUUUUUCUUAGAACUACUUUUUCUGAUUAGUCUUUGUCACUUCUGCUGCAGCAUGAAGAUCGAAAAUGCCGGUUGUUCAAACUUCACCCGCAUUAUGG